This 494-nucleotide ribosomal RNA is filed under the name uncultured bacterium. Its description in RNAcentral is "partial 16S ribosomal RNA". It matches the Rfam family "Bacterial small subunit ribosomal RNA", at positions 28 to 507 of the family's 1533-position model. The record is from RNAcentral.
GACGAACGCUGGCGGCGUGCUUAACACAUGCCAGUCGAACGGAAAGGCCUGCUUUCCCUUGUGGAUUGCGGGUACUCGAGUGGCGAACGGGUGAGUAACACGUGAGUGAUCUGCCCCCAACUUGGGUAUAAGCCUGGGAAACUGGGUCUAAUUCCCGAUAGGACUGCAGGGUGGUGCCUGUGGUGGAAAACGAUUUUCUAGUGGUUGGGGAUGAGCUCGCGGCCUAUCAGCUUGUUGGUGGGGUAAUGGCCUACCAAGGCGGCGACGGGUAGCCGGCCUGAGAGGGUGGACGGCCACAUUGGGACUGAGAUACGGCCCAGACUCCUACGGGAGGCAGCAGUGGGGAAUAUUGCACAAUGGGCGGAAGCCUGAUGCAGCGACGCCGCGUGGGGGAUGACGGCCUUCGGGUUGUAAACUCCUUUCGACCGCGAGGAAGCCGCCUGGUUGGAAGGGUGGUGACGGUAGUGGUAGAAGAAGCACCGGCUAACUACGUG